GACGGACGCUGGCGGCGUGCUUAACACAUGCAAGUCGAACGGAAAGGCCCCAGCUUGCUGGGGUACUCGAGUGGCGAACGGGUGAGUAACACGUGGGUGAUCUGCCCUGCACUCUGGGAUAAGCCUUGGAAACUGGGUCUAAUACCGGGUAGGACCGUGCUUUAGUGUGGGCGGUGGAAAGUUUUUCGGUGUAGGAUGGGCCCGCGGCCUAUCCGCUGGUUGGUGGGGUAAUGGCCUACCAAGGCGGCGACGGGUAGCCGGCCUGGGAGGGGGUACGGCCACCUUGGGACUGAGGCACGGCCCAGACGCGUACGGUAGGCAGCGGUGGGGAAUAUUGCACAAUGGGCGCACGCCUGAUGCAGCGACGCCGCGUGGGGGAUGCCGGCUUUCGGGUUGUAAACCCCUUUCGGCAGGGCCGAAGCUUUUGUGACGGUACCUGCAUAAGAAGCCCCGGCUAACUACGUG
Molecule: ribosomal RNA, 465 nt
Filed under: uncultured bacterium
Lineage: Bacteria
Description: partial 16S ribosomal RNA
Rfam family: Bacterial small subunit ribosomal RNA
Source: RNAcentral